CCAAAACCCCACAUCCUCAAUUUCCCCAAAAUCUUUAAAAAAACAAAACAAAAAUCUUCAAACCCCACAAACCAAAACCUCUCUUACAACAAAGAUUCAAUCUAAAAAUUUGAUCUUUUUUCUCUUACAACAAAAUUCCAAGGUUUUGAUGGGUUGUUGAUAGAGCUAACAUCACAGCUGGCGAAGCCGAUGAUCGGUUAAAAUGUCAAUUUUACAGACAAAAAAGGAGAGUAUUUAUCUUUAACAGCUGGUCCUUUUACUGUUUAUUUUUUAUAGUUAAAUAUAUUGAUCAUACGGAGGAGAGUUUGCUGAUAUGUUGAUUUCAAGUUAUGAAUCAAGCUAUGAAAGUAGAUUGUCGUAGAAAUACUAUAAGGCAAGACUGCUAUAAUUAAACCUUGUAGUUCGAUUUUUUCUCGAAAUGCUGUUAUACCAAAAGUUUUAGUGUGUGAA
This is a long non-coding RNA of Capsicum annuum, 450 nucleotides long. RefSeq lists it as uncharacterized. The record is from RefSeq and is a predicted model, not a curated record. The transcript is spliced from 2 exons. NCBI's taxonomy places the organism in Eukaryota, Viridiplantae, Streptophyta, Magnoliopsida, Solanales, Solanaceae.